AAUCAACGCUGGCGGCGUGCCUCAGACAUGCAAGUCGAACGCGAAAGUUUCCUUCGGGAGAUGAGUAGAGUGGCGCACGGGUGAGUAACACGUGAGUAAUUUACCUUCGGGUGGGGAACGACUAACCGGAAACGGUUGUUAAUACCGCAUAAUGCAGCGGCAUCAAUGAUGACAGUUGUUAAAGCGGGGGAGUUGAGCAAUCCGACCUCGCGCCUGAAGAGAAGCNCGCGGCAGAUUAG
RNAcentral lists this ribosomal RNA (239 nucleotides) under uncultured bacterium. RNAcentral describes it as "partial 16S ribosomal RNA". It matches the Rfam family "Bacterial small subunit ribosomal RNA", at positions 32 to 244 of the family's 1533-position model. The record is from RNAcentral.